CAGCAGUGGGGAAUUUUGGACAAUGGGGGCAACCCUGAUCCAGCCAUGCCGCGUGAGUGAAGAAGGCCUUCGGGUUGUAAAGCUCUUUCGUGAGGGAAGAAACGGCCAUAGUGAAUAGCUAUGGGAGCUGACGGUACCUCAAGAAGAAGCACCGGCUAACUCGUG
This 165-nucleotide ribosomal RNA is filed under the name uncultured bacterium. Its description in RNAcentral is "partial 16S ribosomal RNA". It matches the Rfam family "Bacterial small subunit ribosomal RNA", at positions 349 to 507 of the family's 1533-position model. The record is from RNAcentral.